GGUUAAGUUAGAAAGGGCGCACGGUGAAUGCCUUGGCACUAGGAGCCGAUGAAGGACGGGACUAACACCGAUAUGCUUCGGGGAGCUGUAAGUGAGCUUUGAUCCGGAGAUUUCCGAAUGGGGAAACCCACUGUUCGUAAUGGAACAGUAUCUUUAUCUGAAUACAUAGGAUAUUGAAGGCAGACCCGGGGAACUGAAACAUCUAAGUACCCGGAGGAAGAGAAAGCAAAAUGCGAUUUCCUGAGUAGCGGCGAGCGAAACGGAAUUAGCUCCAAACCAAGAGGCUUGCCUCUUGGGGUUGUAGGACACUCUAUACGGAGUUACAAAGGAACGAAGUAAAUGAAGCGACCUGGAAAGGUCCGUCGAAGAAGGUAACAACCCUGUAGUUGAAACUUCGUUCCCUCUUGAGUGGAUCCUGAGUACGGCGGAACACGUGAAAUUCCGUCGGAAGCUGGGAGGACCAUCUCCCAAGGCUAAAUACUACCUAGUGACCGAUAGUGAACCAGUACCGUGAGGGAAAGGUGAAAAGCACCCCGGAAGGGGAGUGAAAGAGAUCCUGAAACCGUGUGCCUACAAGUAGUCAGAGCCCGUUAACGGGUGAUGGCGUGCCUUUUGUAGAAUGAACCGGCGAGUUACGAUCCCAUGCAAGGUUAAGCUGAUAAGGCGGAGCCGUAGCGAAAAGCGAGUCUGAAUAGGGCGUUUAGUAUGUGGUUGUAGACCCGAAACCAGGUGAUCUACCCAUGUCCAGGGUGAAGUUCAGGUAACACUGAAUGGAGGCCCGAACCCACGCACGUUGAAAAGUGCGGGGAUGAGGUGUGGGUAGCGGAGAAAUUCCAAUCGAACCUGGAGAUAGCUGGUUCUCUCCGAAAUAGCUUUUAGGGCUAGCCUCAUGUUGUGAGAGUCUUGGAGGUAGAGCACUGAUUGGACUAGGGGCCCCCAACGGGUUACCGAAUUCAGUCAAACUCCGAAUGCCAAAGACUUAUCCAUGGGAGUCAGACUGCGAGUGAUAAGAUCCGUAGUCAAAAAGGGAAACAGCCCAGACCACCAGCUAAGGUCCCCAAGUAUACGUUAAGUGGAAAAGGAUGUGGAGUUGCUUAGACAACCAGGAUGUUGGCUUAGAAGCAGCCACCAUUUAAAGAGUGCGUAAUAGCUCACUGGUCGAGUGACUCUGCGCCGAAAAUGUACCGGGGCUAAACGUAUCACCGAAGCUGUGGAUUGACAUCUUUGAUGUCAGUGGUAGGAGAGCGUUCUAAGUGCUGUGAAGUCAGACCGUAAGGACUGGUGGAGCGCUUAGAAGUGAGAAUGCCGGUAUGAGUAGCGAAAAGACAAGUGAGAAUCUUGUCCACCGAAUGCCUAAGGUUUCCUGAGGAAGGCUCGUCCGCUCAGGGUUAGUCGGGACCUAAGCCGAGGCUGAAAAGCGUAGGCGAUGGCCAACAGGUUGAUAUUCCUGUACCACCUCCCCGCCGUUUGAGUAAUGGGGGGACGCAGUAGGAUAGGGUAAGCGCGCUGCUGGAUAUGCGCGUUCAAGCAGUUAGGCUGAUGAGUAGGCAAAUCCGCUCAUCAUGAAGGCUGAGCUGUGAUGACGAGGGAAUUAUAGUACCGAAGUUCCUGAUUCCACACUGCCAAGAAAAGCCUCUAGCGAGGCGGGAGGUGCCCGUACCGCAAAACCGACACAGGUAGGCGAGGAGAGAAUCCUAAGGUGAUCGAGAGAACUCUCGUUAAGGAACUCGGCAAAAAUGACCCCGUAACUUCGGGAGAAGGGGUGCUCUGGUAGGGUGUAUAGCCCGAGAGAGCCGCAGUGAAUAGGCCCAGGCGACUGUUUAGCAAAAAAACACAGGUCUCUGCGAAGCCGCAAGGCGAAGUAUAGGGGCUGACGCCUGCCCGGUGCUGGAAGGUUAAGAGGAGGGGUUAUCCUUUGGGAGAAGCUCUGAAUCGAAGCCCCAGUAAACGGCGGCCGUAACUAUAACGGUCCUAAGGUAGCGAAAUUCCUUUGUCGGGUAAGUUCCGACCCGCACGAAAGGCGUAACGAUCUGGGCACUGUCUCAACGAGAGACUCGGUGAAAUUAUAGUACCUGUGAAGAUGCAGGUUACCCGCGACAGGACGGAAAGACCCCGUGGAGCUUUUACUGUAGCCUGAUAUUGAAUUUUGGUACAGCUUGUACAGGAUAGGUAGGAGCCUGAGAAGCCGGAGCGCUAGCUUCGGUGGAGGCGUCGGUGGGAUACUACCCUGGCUGUAUUGAAAUUCUAACCCGCGGCCCCUAAUCGGGCCGGGAGACAGUGUCAGGUGGGCAGUUUGACUGGGGCGGUCGCCUCCUAAAAUGUAACGGAGGCGCCCAAAGGUUCCCCUCAGAAUGGUUGGAAAUCAUUCGUAGAGUGUAAAGGCACAAGGGAGCUUGACUGCGAGACCUACAAGUCGAGCAGGGACGAAAGUCGGGCUUAGUGAUCCGGUGGUUCCGCAUGGAAGGGCCAUCGCUCAACGGAUAAAAAGCUACCCCGGGGAUAACAGGCUUAUCUCCCCAAGAGUCCACAUCGACGGGGAGGUUUGGCACCUCGAUGUCGGCUCAUCGCAUCCUGGGGCUGUAGUCGGUCCCAAGGGUUGGGCUGUUCGCCCAUUAAAGCGGUACGCGAGCUGGGUUCAGAACGUCGUGAGACAGUUCGGUCCCUAUCCGUCGUGGGCGUAGGAAAUUUGAGAGGAGCUGUCCUUAGUACGAGAGGACCGGGAUGGACACACCGCUGGUGUACCAGUUGUCUUGCCAAAGGCAUCGCUGGGUAGCUAUGUGUGGACGGGAUAAGUGCUGAAAGCAUCUAAGCAUGAAGCCCCCCUCAAGAUGAGAUUUCCCAUAGCGCAAGCUAGUAAGAUCCCUGAAAGAUGAUCAGGUUGAUAGGUCAGAGGUGGAAGCGUGGCGACAUGUGUAGCUGACUGAUACUAAUCGAUCGAGGACUUAACCAA
Molecule: ribosomal RNA, 2950 nt
Filed under: Priestia megaterium
Lineage: Bacteria; Bacillati; Bacillota; Bacilli; Caryophanales; Bacillaceae
Description: 23S ribosomal RNA
Rfam family: Bacterial large subunit ribosomal RNA
Source: RNAcentral